CAUGGUUGUCGUCAGCUCGUGUCGUGAGAUGUUGGGUUAAGUCCCGCAACGAGCGCAACCUCGUUCUAUGUUGCCAGCACGUGAUGUGGGGACUCAUAGGAGACUGCCGGGGUCAACUCGGAGGAAGGUGGGGAUGACGUCAAAUCAUCAUGCCCCUUACGUCUUGGGCUUCACGCAUGCUACAAUGGCCGGUACAGAGGGCUGCGAAACCGUGAGGUGGAGCGAAUCCCUUAAAGCUGGUCUCAGUUCGGAUUGGGGUCUGCAACUCGACCCCAUGAAGUCGGAGUCGCUAGUAAUCGCAGAUCUGCAACGCUGCGGUGAAUACGUUCCCGGGCCUU
RNAcentral lists this ribosomal RNA (338 nucleotides) under uncultured Ornithinimicrobium sp. RNAcentral describes it as "bacterial SSU rRNA". It matches the Rfam family "Bacterial small subunit ribosomal RNA", at positions 1044 to 1382 of the family's 1533-position model. Lineage: Bacteria; Bacillati; Actinomycetota; Actinomycetes; Micrococcales; Ornithinimicrobiaceae. The record is from RNAcentral.